AUUACCCGCUGAACUUAAGCAUAUCAAUAAGCGGAGGAAAAGAAACUAACAAGGAUUCCCCUAGUAACGGCGAGUGAAGUGGGAAAAGCUCAACUUUGAAAUCUGGCUGCUUUGCAGUCCGAGUUGUAGUCUCGAGAAGUGUUUUCCGUGUUGAACCGUGUAUGAGUCUGUUGGAAUACAGCGUCAUAGAGGGUGAGAACCCCGUUCAUGACACGGCUUUCAAUACUUUGUGAUACACUUUCGAUGAGUCGAGUUGUUUGGGAAUGCAGCUCAAAAUGGGUGGUAAAUUCCAUCUAAAGCUAAAUAUUGGCGAGAGACCGAUAGCAAACAAGUACCGUGAGGGAAAGAUGAAAAGCACUUUGGAAAGAGAGUUAAAAGUACGUGAAAUUGUCGAAAGGGAAACGCUUGAAGUCAGACGUGCACGGUACUCGUUACCACUGCAGGCCAACAUCGGUUUUACGAGCCGGAUAAAGGUAGAGAGAAGGUAGCAGUCUCGGCUGUGUUAUAGCUCUCUACUGAAUACGGAUUGAAAGACCGAGGGACGCAGCGCGCCGCAAGGCAAAGAGUUCGCUCUUUUCGCGCUUAGGAUGUUGGUGAAAUGGCUUUAAACGACCC
Molecule: ribosomal RNA, 615 nt
Filed under: Erythrobasidiales sp. UFMG-AFM168
Lineage: Eukaryota; Fungi; Basidiomycota; Cystobasidiomycetes; Erythrobasidiales
Description: eukaryotic LSU rRNA
Rfam family: Eukaryotic large subunit ribosomal RNA
Source: RNAcentral